Molecule: ribosomal RNA, 254 nt
Filed under: uncultured bacterium
Lineage: Bacteria
Description: partial 16S ribosomal RNA
Rfam family: Bacterial small subunit ribosomal RNA
Source: RNAcentral
UACGUAGGGUGCAAGCGUUGUCCGGAAUUAUUGGGCGUAAAGAGCUCGUAGGCGGUCUGUCACGUCUGCCGUGAAAACCCGAGGCUUAACCUCGUGGCUUGCGGUGGAUAUGGGCAGACUAGAGGUAGGUAGGGGAGAACGGAAUUCCCGGUGUAGCGGUGAAAUGCGCAGAUAUCGGGAGGAACACCGGUGGCGAAGGCGGUUCUCUGGGCCUUACCUGACGCUGAGGAGCGAAAGCAUGGGGAGCGAACAGG